This 393-nucleotide unclassified non-coding RNA is filed under the name Hevea brasiliensis (rubber tree). The record is from RNAcentral. Lineage: Eukaryota; Viridiplantae; Streptophyta; Magnoliopsida; Malpighiales; Euphorbiaceae.
UUAGUCCCCAUCCCCUCUUGUCUAUCUUAGAACCGUGGCAAAAUUAUACCAUCCUACAGUCAUUGAAAAUUGGAAUUCUUGACUCAUAUCUUGGCCAAGCAAGAAAAUGUUCUGGUUGAUGUUUCAGUCACCCUAUUUUUUCUCAAAGCCAAGUUAAAGGGGCCAUUUCUCUUCUUUUUUGCAUUGAUGCGUUUGCCUUGGCACCUUCUUUUGCCCUUCAAUUUCAUCCUUUGUUUAAAAAAUAAAAAGGAAAAAGUUUUGGCUGAACUUUCUGAGCUGGGAAAGCUGCAGGGAUUUUUUUAUGAGCUUUUUUCAGUUGCCUGAUAUUUUGCCAAGGGUUGGCUCUAACUGUGCAAGAUGUUUGGAUCCUGGAUGGGUAUUUUCUGCUAUAAA